GAAUGCUUUCUGCAUGCGGCAAGCAGCGUGGCGGGGAUGUAUUUAUAUAUAUAUAGGUUUCAGUACCCGGACUUUGGACUUGUAGUUGGGGUAAGGAGGUAAUUAAUGGUCUAGAAUGCCCUUGUGAUUUGUUUGCGUUUGCCCAUAUAUAUCCAUUCAGCACCAGUGUGGUAAUUUUGUAUGGUAGGUGAAGGUGAUUAAUUCCUUAAUGCGCAUGGCAGUAACGGCUAAGAAUGUAAUUUUAGGCGAAAGAUAAGGAUUUCUGGGACAGGUACUUUUUCUCUUUCCUUUUUGAUUUUGAUUCUUCCAUGUAUAAAAGAAGGCAUGAUAAUAGCAUCUAUGCUAUUUUGAAGUGUCAAAAUAUUAAUAUGAUAUUUUAAAUAUAGUAUAUAUUUCAAAGUAAAAUUAAAAGCCAUUAAUUUGAAGAGUCACUUGUGUAUUGAAGAGGAAGAAGAAAUUAAGUAGCAC
RNAcentral lists this long non-coding RNA (468 nucleotides) under Populus trichocarpa (black cottonwood). RNAcentral describes it as "long non-coding RNA (PTRI_LNC002984)". Lineage: Eukaryota; Viridiplantae; Streptophyta; Magnoliopsida; Malpighiales; Salicaceae. The record is from RNAcentral.